Molecule: long non-coding RNA, 555 nt
Filed under: Brassica napus (rape)
Lineage: Eukaryota; Viridiplantae; Streptophyta; Magnoliopsida; Brassicales; Brassicaceae
Description: long non-coding RNA (BNAP_LNC013511)
Source: RNAcentral
UUGAUUUGGAUUAUGCUUGUGUUGUGCAUGUGUGUGAUCAGAUGAUUAUCAUGUGAAAACAGAUUUUUUUUCAAGCAUUCGUUUUCAUGCGACUUUAAGGAUUGGUAAGAUGGAACAUUCUUAGCUUUACGUUACUACAAUAUUUCUACGGGCUUGAAACAUAAAAAUUGACUUUAUCAACAAUGAUUUGGUUUGUGUAUUUUUCUCAUGUUAAGGAUUGUAUGGAUGGAUCUUUAGACGAAACUAGCGUGUGCUCUGUGUGAACAUGUUGAAGAAGUUGGGGAUGAAGGCCGUCUGCUAAGGGCGUGUCUUAUCCUAAUUUCUCUAAGAGCUUGUUUUUAUUACGCGCAAGAGAUCUCAAAUUAUUUAAACUCUCUAACUAGAUCUUGGGAUCGAUGCAUUUGUGCAUGAUAAACUUGCUAACGAAGAUGCAAAGUCACCCUUGACGGUAAAUAGUUUAUAAAUCUCCUAUCAGAAACUGAAAAAUCUACAGUGAUUAAUGAGAGGGUUUCAUGGUUGUUCCUUUUUUCUGCAGCUACAUCCCACGAUGAUGAA